GCAGCACCAACAACAACAACAAUAACGGCGCAACGUAACAUAGAGAGUCAAAGAGAGCGUGGGGUUAGGAAGUACAGCAGUUGAAAACAGCAACAGCAACAACAAAGAGUAAAGUAUAUUAGUUUAGUUGUUGUUGCUAUUAUUGCCUGUUGAAUGUGUUGUGCGCGCAGCACCGUUAACUUGAAAUGUUGCUUGGGCCAAGAAGCGAAGGUAGAGAACGGGGGCCACGAAAUGGGAGCAACGACAGCGAAGCAGCAGGCAAAAGGAAUCUAGAUGCUUUAAAUGCGCGCCCAGACAAACAAAUGCAAAUGGCACACGCCCUACGCCUCCGCAUCUGUGUGUGAGUGUGUCUGUGUGUGUCGGUGUGUGUGUGUGAGUGAGUGUUUGUAAAGUAGGCAAUCGCAGCUUGUGGUGCAAUCGUUACCGAAUAGAUGAGAUGCGCAACAAAAGCACCAGCAGCAACCGCCGCAGCAGCAACAGCAGCAACAGCAGCACCAGCAGCGACAACGGACAGCGGUAAUAGAAACAACAGACAAUAUAACAGAAAACUAUAAAAACGUCGUCGCAGUCGCGAAUUAUUACGACGCCGCAAAAUGGGGCGGUGGGUUACAAAAUGUGUGCAAAGAGCAAAGCAAACACACACACACAAACGAACAAACGAACGAACCGAACGCAUAGGCGAGGGAGCACGAGCAAGUUCCUCUCUAGCUUGUGUUCGCUCUCUUUCUUUCUUUCUUUCUUUCUCUAUCUAGCUGCAUCGAUGCCUCGCUGGGUGCAUUUGUCUGCUUUCUGUGUGUUUGUAGCAAGGCGCGAGCAAGCAAAGGGGGUGUGUUUAGCAGCCUCAGAUGCGGUAAGCAAUUGAAUAAGCAUUUGGUGUUUUUUCAAUGCCUUUGAAUAACAAUAACAAUAACAAAUAAUCAUAAAUCGCGAUUCGUUAACUAUUCGUAAUCGAUAACAUGCUGGGCUGUCUCUUUAGGUGAAGAGCAUUGCACAAUAAAUCAAAUUGCACACACACACAAGUACAUAAAUAAGCAUGUUAAGUAUAUAGAACAUAUGCAGACAAUCAGUCAGCCAAGCAGUCAUAUAACACACACUGCUUAUAGACACAUUUUGUCAUUUGCUUUUAUAAGUUUCUCCAACAUGCAUUAAACGAUUAUUUCUUCUCUCUCUUUUAAUUAAAUUAUCGAUUGCUGCUGCUACUGCAUCGCAACUUCAAAGUAAUAAGCGCAUAGGCAUAUGGUUGUAUGUGUGCAUGUGUAUGUAACAUGCAUAUACAUAUGUAUGUAUGUACAUACAAACAUACUUACAAUUGUAUGUAUGUAUGUACAUAUGCAAGCGUCUCACUGGAGAAAACAUGUCAAACAAAGCAAAACGAAGCAAAAACGGAAACGCAGCACACGAAACAGCAGCAGCAGCGCCAACAAUGACGUCGAAGUCAACGUCAACGUCAGCGUCGCGCUAGCAGCAGCGACAGCGACCAACUCUAUGCCAAGCAGUAGCGAAUCAAAAGCCAAAAAGGAAAAAACUGAGAUUGCUAUGAAUUAAGUUUUUGGCUGCGCGCAAAAAUAAGCAACAACAACAACAAAAACGAAGAGCUUCAAAUGUCUGAAUGUCAAGCGCGCUGAAGCAAGUGAAACAAAGAGGAAGCGCAACAACUACAGCAAAAAGAAAGCCAAGGCGGCGCUAUGUCCAUCUCGCACUAGAUGAUGAUAGAUGACAGUUGUUGGUCGGGGUGCGAGCUAUCCAAAAGGGAGGGGCAAAAAUUGAAGUUGACUCGCUUCAAGCUUGACACGCGCGUACGUAGGCAAGGCAAAAUCCAAAAGGCAAUAACAAAAAAAAAAAAUAAUACAACGUAACAAUGUUUAACAGUAAAGCCAAUGGCAAAGUCAGUGAAAUAAAUGUACAACUUCAUACGA
Drosophila mojavensis is the source of this 1916-nucleotide long non-coding RNA. RefSeq lists it as uncharacterized. The transcript is spliced from 3 exons. Lineage: Eukaryota; Metazoa; Arthropoda; Insecta; Diptera; Drosophilidae. The record is from RefSeq and is a predicted model, not a curated record.